Molecule: ribosomal RNA, 335 nt
Filed under: uncultured bacterium
Lineage: Bacteria
Description: bacterial SSU rRNA
Rfam family: Bacterial small subunit ribosomal RNA
Source: RNAcentral
AAUCAACGCUGGCGGCGUGCCUCAGACAUGCAAGUCGAACGCGAAAGUCCCCCUUCGGGGGGCAAGUAGAGUGGCGCACGGGUGAGUAACACGUAGGUAAUCUACCUUUGGAUGGGGAAUAACAACCGGAAACGGUUGCUAAUACCGCAUAAUGCAGCGGCACCUAAUGGUGACAGUUGUUAAAGCGGGGGAUCGAAAGACCUCGCGUCUGAAGAGGAGCCUGCGGCGGAUUAGCUAGNGGUAAGGUAACGGCUUACCAAGGCGACGAUCCGUAGCCGGCCUGAGAGGGCGGUCGGCCACGCUGACACUGACAUACGGGUCAGACUCCUACGGGA